GGCGGAUUAGCUCAGCUGGCUAGAGCGCCCGGUUCAUACCCGGUAGGUCGUUGGUUCAAAUCCGACAUCCGCUACCA
RNAcentral lists this transfer RNA (77 nucleotides) under Clostridia bacterium. RNAcentral's name for it is "tRNA-Met". It matches the Rfam family "tRNA". Rfam says of the family: Transfer RNA (tRNA) molecules are approximately 80 nucleotides in length. Their secondary structure includes four short double-helical elements and three loops (D, anti-codon, and T loops). Further hydrogen bonds mediate the characteristic L-shaped molecular structure. tRNAs have two regions of fundamental functional importance: the anti-codon, which is responsible for specific mRNA codon recognition, and the 3' end, to which the tRNAs corresponding amino acid is attached (by aminoacyl-tRNA synthetases). tRNAs cope with the degeneracy of the genetic code in two manners: having more than one tRNA (with a specific anti-codon) for a particular amino acid; and 'wobble' base-pairing, i.e. permitting non-standard base-pairing at the 3rd anti-codon position. The record is from RNAcentral. Lineage: Bacteria; Bacillati; Bacillota; Clostridia.